UGUCCACCUCACUGCAGUGAAAGUGAAAGUGGAGCUGCUGUGAUUCUCCAGUGUUGCACAGCUGGAUAAAACUUCAGAAGAUCAUCUUCGUCUGGAUAAUUUGGCCUUGGACUCUUUGGUGAGUUGGGAAUGUGGUGCACACAGAAGAAGCGAAUCAGAAGACAGGGGGAGAGGUGGAGAGAUGGAGUGAUGGAGAAAUCUCUCCUUCUGCUGCUCUACACAGCUACAUGGGCUGUGUCGGUGUCAGAUGGGUUCAACAUCGAUGUCACAAACCCAGAGCGGUUCUCGGGGAGUGAGGAGGGUUUUUUCGGUUAUCGGGUUCUACAGUAUCAGUCUGACUCAGACAAACAGUGA
Molecule: long non-coding RNA, 354 nt
Organism: Pygocentrus nattereri (red-bellied piranha)
Lineage: Eukaryota; Metazoa; Chordata; Actinopteri; Characiformes; Serrasalmidae
Exons: 3
Source: RefSeq, a predicted model, not a curated record